AUACGGAGGGUGCAAGCGUUAAUCGGAAUUACUGGGCGUAAAGCGCUCGUAGGCGGCUUGUUAAGUCGGAUGUGAAAGCCCCGGGCUCAACCUGGGAACUGCAUUCGAUACUGGCAGACUAGAGUAUAGUAGAGGCAAGUGGAAUUCCGGGUGUAGCGGUGAAAUGCGUAGAUAUCGGGAAGAACAUCAGUGGCGAAGGCGGCUUACUGGAUCAACACUGACACUGAGGCGCGAAAGCGUGGGUAGCAAACAGGAUUAGAAACCCCGGUAGUCC
This 274-nucleotide ribosomal RNA is filed under the name uncultured bacterium. RNAcentral's name for it is "partial 16S ribosomal RNA". It matches the Rfam family "Bacterial small subunit ribosomal RNA", at positions 523 to 796 of the family's 1533-position model. The record is from RNAcentral.